CAAGUCGAGCGGACAGAAGGGAGCUUGCUCCCGGAUGUUAGCGGCGGACGGGUGAGUAACACGUGGGUAACCUGCCUGUAAGACUGGGAUAACUCCGGGAAACCGGAGCUAAUACCGGAUAGUUCCUUGAACCGCAUGGUUCAAGGAUGAAAGACGGUUUCGGCUGUCACUUACAGAUGGACCCGCGGCGCAUUAGCUAGUUGGUGAGGUAACGGCUCACCAAGGCGACGAUGCGUAGCCGACCUGAGAGGGUGAUCGGCCACACUGGGACUGAGACACGGCCCAGACUCCUACGGGAGGCAGCAGUAGGGAAUCUUCCGCAAUGGACGAAAGUCUGACGGAGCAACGCCGCGUGAGUGAUGAAGGUUUUCGGAUCGUAAAGCUCUGUUGUUAGGGAAGAACAAGUGCAAGAGUAACUGCUUGCACCUUGACGGUACCUAACCAGAAAGCCACGGCUAACUACGUGCCAGCAGCCGCGGUAAUACGUAGGUGGCAAGCGUUGUCCGGAAUUAUUGGGCGUAAAGGGCUCGCAGGCGGUUUCUUAAGUCUGAUGUGAAAGCCCCCGGCUCAACCGGGGAGGGUCAUUGGAAACUGGGAAACUUGAGUGCAGAAGAGGAGAGUGGAAUUCCACGUGUAGCGGUGAAAUGCGUAGAGAUGUGGAGGAACACCAGUGGCGAAGGCGACUCUCUGGUCUGUAACUGACGCUGAGGAGCGAAAGCGUGGGGAGCGAACAGGAUUAGAUACCCUGGUAGUCCACGCCGUAAACGAUGAGUGCUAAGUGUUAGGGGGUUUCCGCCCCUUAGUGCUGCAGCUAACGCAUUAAGCACUCCGCCUGGGGGAGUACGGUCGCAAGACUGAAACUCAAAGGAAUUGACGGGGGCCCGCACAAGCGGU
This 894-nucleotide ribosomal RNA is filed under the name Bacillus altitudinis. Its description in RNAcentral is "bacterial SSU rRNA". It matches the Rfam family "Bacterial small subunit ribosomal RNA", at positions 58 to 933 of the family's 1533-position model. The record is from RNAcentral. Lineage: Bacteria; Bacillati; Bacillota; Bacilli; Caryophanales; Bacillaceae.